Molecule: small RNA, 112 nt
Filed under: Fuerstiella marisgermanici
Lineage: Bacteria; Pseudomonadati; Planctomycetota; Planctomycetia; Planctomycetales; Planctomycetaceae
Source: RNAcentral
CUACGAACAGAAAUCGGAUACAAGGCCGGUACGGACAGGUGAGUGAGCCCAUCCUCACGAAACCCGCCCCAAAUAACUAACACCGCGUUCAUCCGCAUUGGUAAAUCCGGAG